This 253-nucleotide ribosomal RNA is filed under the name uncultured bacterium. RNAcentral's name for it is "partial 16S ribosomal RNA". It matches the Rfam family "Bacterial small subunit ribosomal RNA", at positions 524 to 776 of the family's 1533-position model. The record is from RNAcentral.
UACGUAGGGUGCAAGCGUUAAUCGGAAUUACUGGGCGUAAAGGGUGCGCAGGCGGAUGAUUAAGUUAGAAGUGAAAUCCCCGGGCUCAACCUGGGAACUGCUUUUAAGACUGGUUAUCUAGAGUUUGUCAGAGGGGGGUGGAAUUUCAAGUGUAGCAGUGAAAUGCGUAGAGAUUUGAAGGAACACCAAUGGCGAAGGCAACCCCCUGGGAUAAAACUGACGCUCAGGCACGAAAGCGUGGGUAGCAAACAGG